RNAcentral lists this ribosomal RNA (258 nucleotides) under uncultured bacterium. RNAcentral's name for it is "partial 16S ribosomal RNA". It matches the Rfam family "Bacterial small subunit ribosomal RNA", at positions 793 to 1055 of the family's 1533-position model. The record is from RNAcentral.
GUCCAUGCCGUAAACGAUGAGGACUCGCUGUUGGCCUGUCAAGGGUCAGCGGCUUAGGGAAACCGUUAAGUCCUCCACCUGGGGAGUACGCCGGCAACGGUGAAACUCAAAGGAAUUGACGGGGUCCGCACAAGCGGUGGAGCAUGUGGUUUAAUUCGAUGAUACGCGAGGAACCUUACCUGGGCUAAAUCACACUAGACGUAUUCAGAAAUGGGUAUUCCAGCAAUGGCUGGUGUGAAGGUGCUGCAUGGCUGUCGU